Long non-coding RNA from Anguilla rostrata (American eel), 1292 nucleotides. RefSeq lists it as uncharacterized. The transcript is spliced from 3 exons. The record is from RefSeq and is a predicted model, not a curated record. NCBI's taxonomy places the organism in Eukaryota, Metazoa, Chordata, Actinopteri, Anguilliformes, Anguillidae.
GGCAGUUCAUCACUGUCAAGCUCCUUGAGAUCCAGUAGCCCUUCACCAUCACAUUCCAUUCCAUUCCAUAACUUGGCGUCAUUUUGAUGUCAAUACUUUUGAGUUUCUGCCUCUGCUGCUGACGUUGAGAGGUCCUUAACUUUGCCUGACAGUCCUCGAUUGAUUGUUCUCGGUAUGCAUGUAACUCGCCUCCGCAGGCGAGGACCCGUGGCGACGGAACCUCUCCAAACUUCGCUAUCCCUCACUGACCCCCCUGUGACGACUUCACGGUCGCAGGAGGGCUAUGGAACUGCCAGUCUGCUACGCGGAAGGCUGACUUCAUUUCAGCCUACGCGUCCCUCUUCUCCCUACAUUUCCUUGCCCUCACUGAGACCUGGAUCACACCAGGCAACACUGCAACCCCUUCAGCCCUCUCCUCCUCCUUCUCCUUCUCUCACGCCCUCCGCCCGUCUGGCCGUGGUGGGGGCACAGGUUUGCUGAUCUCUCCCUCUUGGAAAUUCUCUGUUCUCCCCCUUUCUCACCUCUCCAUCUCUACCUUUGAAUACCACUCUGUCUCAAUCACCUAUCCUGUUAACUUGUACAUUGUUGUUAUCUAUCGCCCUCCAGGGCCCCUGGGAAGCUUCCUCGAUGAGCUCAACACCCUGCUCAGCUCCUUCCCAGAGAAUGGUGUAGAGGGGAGUCAAACUGGGACCCAGAAAAGGCUGGCAUUUGAACGGGCCUGCAGGCUGGGACUCAUCCUGUACUUCAAAGAACCCAGAGCCGUGUGAUAAAACAAUAAGUUACUUGGACUUCCUCGGGAUAAGCAGGCCAUUUGGCUCUCUGGAAUGUUGCCAUCUGGACACAUCUAAGAUAAGGGGAACUAGUCUCUUUGUCUAUGGUUGUGGGGGUAUGUGUGUUCGGGCCAUUAAGGGUAAAAAGAUCAUCAGGCCUCUGGACAAAUGGUGGGGCAACUACGCUUGACAGUUCCACAGUGCCGUUAUGUGGGCCCCUCUAUCAUUACACUUUUUAUUUAUUUUCUGGAUCUGGACUCUAAACCAUCUGUUUAUCAUAUUUACAAACCCCGGAAAACCUUACAAACCAUGCACGUGUUUUCAUUAUAUUACUGUAUUAUGCCUUAUGUAAUAAUAACAUGGAUUGCAUGUAAAAUGCUUCAACAAAAGGGUAUUUUCAUGACAACUGCACCAUAAUAUUACAUCCCCUGGACAUGUUUGGCAUAUUCAGGAAAAUUCCAGAAAUUGAAUGAAAAAUGUUUCAUACCCAAUAAAAUUUAAUAAAACAUAUUUUAAAUUGUA